Molecule: ribosomal RNA, 511 nt
Filed under: uncultured Bacillota bacterium
Lineage: Bacteria; Bacillati; Bacillota
Description: bacterial SSU rRNA
Rfam family: Bacterial small subunit ribosomal RNA
Source: RNAcentral
UAGGGAAUCUUCCGCAAUGGACGAAAGUCUGACGGAGCAACGCCGCGUGAGCGAUGAAGGCCUUCGGGUCGUAAAGCUCUGUUGUUAGGGAAGAACAAGUAUCGGAGUAACUGCCGGUACCUUGACGGUACCUAACCAGAAAGCCACGGCUAACUACGUGCCAGCAGCCGCGGUAAUACGUAGGUGGCAAGCGUUGUCCGGAAUUAUUGGGCGUAAAGCGCGCGCAGGCGGUCCUUUAAGUCUGAUGUGAAAGCCCACGGCUCAACCGUGGAGGGUCAUUGGAAACUGGGGGACUUGAGUACAGAAGAGGAAAGUGGAAUUCCACGUGUAGCGGUGAAAUGCGUGGAGAUGUGGAGGAACACCAGUGGCGAAGGCGACUUUCUGGUCUGUAACUGACGCUGAGGCGCGAAAGCGUGGGGAGCAAACAGGAUUAGAUACCCUGGUAGUCCACGCCGUAAACGAUGAGUGCUAAGUGUUAGAGGGUUUCCGCCCUUUAGUGCUGCAGCAAACG